This 523-nucleotide long non-coding RNA is filed under the name Portunus trituberculatus (swimming crab). RNAcentral's name for it is "uncharacterized LOC123502464, transcript variant X4". The record is from RNAcentral. Lineage: Eukaryota; Metazoa; Arthropoda; Malacostraca; Decapoda; Portunidae.
CCAGCGGUCACGGCCCACGGGACAAGCGCUCAGCUGUCAGGCAGCAGCAGGUGUCAUGGAGGGGCCCUGGUGGUGGACUGGUGGUAGAAAUGUUUACGUUUUGUUCUUCAUUGGACAAACAAUGUGAUGUGGACGUGUUGUGGUGCCUUGACGUGGGCGUCGCUGCCGUGAGCAGGAUGGAAGGAGCAAGGAAGGGACGUCAGCUGCUGGCUGAGGCUGCUGGACCACUUGUCACCACUCCCUUCCCUUUACUUUGACGCUCAGUUGGUGGCCCAAAGGAGGAAGAUGGAAGCAUGGACAUUUAACCAUCGUCAACUGUCGUAUAGAAGGAAAGUCAAGCCAAGCCAAGCCAAGCCACAACACAACACAAGCCUUCUACAAGACCUACAGCCAUCAGCAACACCCAGAGUACAAGACAAUACCUGAGCCAUGAAGAAGAGUUAGGAUAGAUUAGCAGUUUGUCAUGUUUUUUUUUUUUUUUAAGGACAUUUUAAGACAGUUUGGCAUGUUUUUAUGGUAUUUU